UACCUGCCUUGGAGUGGGAUACAGCUGGAACAGCUGCUAAUACCGCAUAAAUAUCUGUGUCGCAUGGCACUGGAUAUCAAAGAUUUAUCGCUCUGAGAUGGACUCGCGUCUGAUUAGCUAGUUGGCGGGGUAACGGCCCACCAAGGCGACGAUCAGUAGCCGGACUGAGAGGUUGGCCGGCCACCAUUGGGACUGAGACACGGCCCAGACUCCUACGGAAGGCAGCAG
Molecule: ribosomal RNA, 228 nt
Filed under: uncultured bacterium
Lineage: Bacteria
Description: partial 16S ribosomal RNA
Rfam family: Bacterial small subunit ribosomal RNA
Source: RNAcentral